RNAcentral lists this ribosomal RNA (253 nucleotides) under uncultured prokaryote. Its description in RNAcentral is "partial 16S ribosomal RNA". It matches the Rfam family "Bacterial small subunit ribosomal RNA", at positions 525 to 777 of the family's 1533-position model. The record is from RNAcentral.
ACGUAGGGACCAAGCGUUGUUCGGAUUUACUGGGCGUAAAGGGCGCGUAGGCGGCUUGACAAGUCACUUGUGAAAUCUCCGGGCUUAACUCGGAACGGCCAAGUGAAACUGUCAUGCUAGAGUGCAGAAGGGGCAAUCGGAAUUCUUGGUGUAGCGGUGAAAUGCGUAGAUAUCAAGAGGAACACCUGAGGUGAAGACGGGUUGCUGGGCUGACACUGACGCUGAGGCGCGAAAGCCAGGGGAGCAAACGGGA